GAAUAUGGUUGUCCAAAGUAUGUAUUUACUAUGUUUGUGGUAUUUAAAUAAGUGUAUUUGCUUUUCAUAACAGUUCUGAAUGUGUUUAUGGCAACCAAAACUGCAAGUUUUUACCGUAAACGUUAGUUCACUUUUAGGUAUACUGUAAACAGAGGAACAUUUCGACCGUAUUUGUUACGGUAGAUUUCUGGCAGCCACAGCUGCCAGUUUUUUACCGUAAAUUUUACGGGAUUUUUUUUACAGUGUAAGGGGGAACAGACUUGGACACAACACCUGGCAUGACGGCUUGAAGUUCAAAAUGUGCACAGCAUAUGAACAGAACAGGAGAAAUUCAUCUUUGCUUUGUCACCACUUAAGGAUUCUUCGUCCAAUCCAAUCAGUACUACUGACUCAGAACAGUGUCACUGUGACCAGACAGCGUGUUUGUACUUUCAAGACUACAGGUGUGUUUAUAAGACUCAUCUUGCCAGAUUUCACUUCAGUCACAAAGAAACAGAAUAGGAGAGUUGACAGGUCAGUGCAGAAUUUAAGGAAUUACUGGAGUUGAUCUGCACUCGACAUUCCACAGUCCUGAAGAUCCGUGCCAAAGGUCUGAUCAGGAUGUAUCACUCUGAAAGAGACCAGAGUCAUGGCCAUGCAUCAAAGGUCAGUGGUACUCUGAGAUCUUCAGUUUUAUAUUCGGGAAUACGUACCAGUUGUUAAGAACUUUCAGACAGGCAGACCAGAAGGAUGCAUGUUGGUUUCAUUGAGUCUUCAGAAGAUCUGUGUGAAUUCCUUUGUUCAGUGGCGGACGUGCCUGUAGUGUUGGAGGAAGAAGUUGUCAUGAACAGCCUUCCAAACUUUCCGAUCGCCUUUUGGAGUGCUCUUUGGCCUGCUUUGCUUCCUCUAUAUUGAGUAUCCUAAAGAGUGGAAGUAAAUGUUUGAGGCUUGCACAAACUCUUUCUGGGUCUUGACAGUAAAAAAUGUUCAGCUUGAAUUCAGUCACUGAGAACCAGACUGUUGCUGGCAUAGACAGACUGAUCUAGUUUAGAGGCCAAUUCAAGUGUCAUGAGGUCAAGUACUGUCAUCUACUUGAUGUUUAUUUUCUUGUGUUUCUUUCUUUUGUAUUUAUUUAUUUUUGUUACACAUUUGUUAACAUUUAAGUUAUUAAUGGAUACAAUGAUUCAACUUUCUUACCUUAUUCUUAAUGUACUUGAGUGUGGUGUAAAUUGUAAUAUCAUUAGCUAUGUUUCCAUCCAAGUUGCAAAUUUAAUUUAUGCAAAAAACAGUAAUAUCGCAAAAACAAUUUGUGAAUAAAGCCGUGUUUUGUCUCA
Myxocyprinus asiaticus (Chinese sucker) is the source of this 1313-nucleotide long non-coding RNA. RefSeq lists it as uncharacterized. The record is from RefSeq and is a predicted model, not a curated record. NCBI's taxonomy places the organism in Eukaryota, Metazoa, Chordata, Actinopteri, Cypriniformes, Catostomidae. The transcript is spliced from 5 exons.